This is a long non-coding RNA of Vigna unguiculata (cowpea), 156 nucleotides long. The record is from RefSeq and is a predicted model, not a curated record. NCBI's taxonomy places the organism in Eukaryota, Viridiplantae, Streptophyta, Magnoliopsida, Fabales, Fabaceae.
AGGAGGCGCGCGCGGUUCCCAGAGCGGCGGUUCUCACGCAGAGCAAGGAGGCGCGCCACCACGAACAGAUAGGAUGAAAGAAUCAAGAACAAAGAAACAGCCUGAAGGUGAUUCUGAGAUUUCAGCAUGGGUUAGUAAAAGCCGCAAGUUAGAAAA